RNAcentral lists this ribosomal RNA (474 nucleotides) under uncultured bacterium. RNAcentral describes it as "SSU rRNA". It matches the Rfam family "Bacterial small subunit ribosomal RNA", at positions 26 to 518 of the family's 1533-position model. The record is from RNAcentral.
AGGACGAACGCUGGCGGCGUGCCUAACACAUGCAAGUGGAGCGACGAACCAGGCUUCGGCCUGGGGCAGAGCCGCGAACGGGUGAGUAACACGUGGGUAACCUGCCCUGAUGAUUGGGACAACCCGAGGAAACUCGGGCUAAUACCGAAUAUGACUUCGGCCGACAUCGGCCUUGGUGGAAAGUUUUUCGGCUAGGGAUGAACUCGCGGCCUAUCAGCUUGUUGGUGGGGUAAUGGCCUACCAAGGCGACGACGGGUAGCCGGCCUGAGAGGGCGACCGGCCACACUGGGACUGAGACACGGCCCAGACUCCUACGGGAGGCAGCAGUGGGGAAUAUUGCGCAAUGGGCGAAAGCCUGACGCAGCGACGCCGCGUGGGGGAUGAAGGCCUUCGGUUGUAACCCUUUCAGCAGGGACGAAGCGAAGUGACGGUACCUGCAGAAGAAGCGCCGGCUAACUACGUGCCAGCAGCCGC